GACGAACGCUGGCGGCGUGCUUAACACAUGCAAGUCGAACGGAGUGGCGAACGGGUAAGUAAUACGUGGGUAACCUGCCCUCCUGUUUGGGAUAAGCCUUGGAAACGGGGUCUAAUACCGGAUCAAGGGGGAUGGGCUCGCGGCCUAUCGGGUUGUGGGGGGGGUGAUGGCCGACCAAGGCGGUGACGGGUAGCAGGCCUGAGAGGGUGACCGGACACAUUGGAACUGACAUACGCCCACGACUCCUACGGGAGGCAGAAGUGGGGGAUAUGGCACAAUGCUGGAAAGACUGAUGCAGCGGUGCCGCGUGGGGGAUGAAGGUGUUCGGGUUGUAAACCUGUUUCGCUAUCGAACCGGUAGGUGGAGAAGAAGCGCCGGCUAACUACGUGCCAGCAGCCGCGGUAAUAC
RNAcentral lists this ribosomal RNA (408 nucleotides) under uncultured bacterium. RNAcentral's name for it is "partial 16S ribosomal RNA". It matches the Rfam family "Bacterial small subunit ribosomal RNA", at positions 28 to 526 of the family's 1533-position model. The record is from RNAcentral.